GUUGAUAAGAGGAAGAAAGAGAGAACUCAAGAGCACUAGGAAAGGGAACAUGGAGGAAACCCCUGCUUGUUUGUUCGCACCUCUAGUGUUUGAGGUGCAAAUGUUUUGCAUGGAUCCUUUCUUGAUGCCUCCCAUUCCCACCGUUCUUGUGCACCUCUUCCUCUUCCUUUUGACU
This 175-nucleotide microRNA precursor is filed under the name Hordeum vulgare. Its description in RNAcentral is "microRNA MIR2118". It matches the Rfam family "MIR2118 microRNA precursor family". Lineage: Eukaryota; Viridiplantae; Streptophyta; Magnoliopsida; Poales; Poaceae. The record is from RNAcentral.